UGGGGAAUAUUGCACAAUGGGCGCAAGCCUGAUGCAGCCAUGCCGCGUGUAUGAAGAAGGCCUUCGGGUUGUAAAGUACUUUCAGCGGGGAGGAAGGGAGUAAAGUUAAUACCUCUGCUCAUUGACGUUACCCGCAGAAGAAGCACCGGCUAACUCCGUGCCAGCAGCCGCGGUAAUACGGAGGGUGCAAGCGUUAAUCGGAAUUACUGGGCGUAAAGCGCACGCAGGCGGUUUGUUAAGUCAGAUGUGUAAUCCCCGGGCUCAACCUGGGAACUGCAUCUGAUACUGGCAAGCUUGAGUCUCGUAGAGGGGGGUAGAAUUCCUGGUGUAGCGGUGAAAUGCGUAGAGAGCGGGAGGAAUACCGGUGGCGAAGGCGGCCCCCUGGACGAAGACUGACGCUCAGGUGCGAAAGCGUGGGGAGCAAACAGG
This 429-nucleotide ribosomal RNA is filed under the name Chloroflexota bacterium. RNAcentral describes it as "Chloroflexi bacterium partial 16S ribosomal RNA". It matches the Rfam family "Bacterial small subunit ribosomal RNA", at positions 355 to 776 of the family's 1533-position model. Lineage: Bacteria; Bacillati; Chloroflexota. The record is from RNAcentral.